This 459-nucleotide ribosomal RNA is filed under the name uncultured bacterium. RNAcentral describes it as "partial 16S ribosomal RNA". It matches the Rfam family "Bacterial small subunit ribosomal RNA", at positions 338 to 795 of the family's 1533-position model. The record is from RNAcentral.
CCUACGGGAUGCAGCAGUGAGGAAUAUUGGUCAAUGGUCGGGAGACUGAACCAGCCAAGCCGCGUGAGGGAGGAAGGUACAGAGUAUCGUAAACCUCUUUUGUCAGGGAACAAAGGCGGGGACGUGUCCCCGGAUGAGUGUACCUGAAGAAAAAGCAUAGGCUAACUCCGUGCCAGCAGCCGCGGUAAUACGGAGGAUGCGAGCGUUAUCCGGAUUUAUGGGGUUUAAAGGGUGCGCAGGCGGUCUGUUAAGUCAGCGGUCAAAGCCCGGGGCUCAACCCCGGCCCGCCGUUGAAACUGGCAGUCUCGAGUUGGAGAGAAGUAUGCGGAAUGCGCGGUGUAGCGGUGAAAUGCAUAGAUAUCGCGCAGAACUCCGAUUGCGAAGGCAGCAUGCCGGCUCCACACUGACGCUGAGGCACGAAAGCGUGGGUAUCGAACAGGAUUAGAUACCCCUGUAGUC